This 243-nucleotide long non-coding RNA is filed under the name Phoenix dactylifera (date palm). RNAcentral describes it as "long non-coding RNA (PDAC_LNC023059)". The record is from RNAcentral. Lineage: Eukaryota; Viridiplantae; Streptophyta; Magnoliopsida; Arecales; Arecaceae.
UGAUGGGGACAUCAGCUAGGUCCCCAUUUUAUUUGCAUAUUUGCUUAUUGUUAUUUCUGGGUUUAUUUGUGUUUAGGGAUUUAUUUGUGGUUUAUUUUAUUCUGGGCUUAUUUUCAUUUUAGGGCUUAUUUGUGGGGAAUUAUUUUAUGUAAGGGGUUUAUUUUAAUUGUUCUUAUGGGGCCCUAUUUAAAGGGAACUUGUAAGCUGAUUAGGGUUUUAAUGCAGAAUUAAAGAAUUUCUUCC